RNAcentral lists this long non-coding RNA (5650 nucleotides) under Zea mays. RNAcentral describes it as "long non-coding RNA (ZMAY_LNC000727)". Lineage: Eukaryota; Viridiplantae; Streptophyta; Magnoliopsida; Poales; Poaceae. The record is from RNAcentral.
UCGUGAGAGAAGGAAAACAAGGUGGCGGCUAGGGUUGGACUCCCGGCUCUCUACAGGAAGCCGGAAACAAUGUGUUUCUGCUUGAUCUAUAGAGUGGUGCUUACAAUUAUUUAUACUCCCUUCUAGUCCUUAUCUAAUGAGAUAGAUCUCCUCUUUUCUCUCUAACAAAUCUUAUCUUCUAAUCCCUAUCUUCUCUCUAACAAAUCUUAUCUUCUAAUCCCUAUCUUCUCUCUAACAAAUCUUAUCUUCUAAUCCUUAUCUGCAUGCUUAUCUUCUAAUCCUUAUUUGCAUGCUUAUGCUGUUGCCCGGCGCCUAUAGUGGCGGCCGGUCAUAACAUCUCUCCCUGCCUGCGCAAACAGCUCGUCCUCGAGCUGCACAUCCGGGUAGAGAGUCUUGAAGUCGUCCAGGGGCUCCCAGGUGGCGUCGUCCUCCGGAAGGCCUUGCCACUUGACGAGGAUGUGCCACGCGCCGCGACGGAGCUGUGCGCGCAGGACCUGCGCAGGGGCUGGCAGCAGUCGCCCGUCCUGAACCGGUGGCAGCACGGCUGGUGUUGAUGGUGGCGAGCCGGCAGAGUUGUACGACUUUAACAACCCCACAUGGAAGACGUCAUGCAGGCACGCGUCCGCGGGGAGUCGGAGACGAUAAGCCACCUGCCCGAUGCGCUCGACGAUCUGGAACGGCCCCGCGUAGCGUGGGCGCAGCUUGCCCUUGGACGGCGAGACGAGCGCAUGGGUGGGUCGGUGGAGAAGUCGGAGCAGCACCCAUGCGCCCUUGUCGAACUCCACCUCGCGAUGGUGCUCAUCGUAGUGGCGCUUGGCGUACUGCUGGGCCUGAAGAAGACGCUCGCGAACCUCCUCCAGGAACGCGUCGCGGUCCCGCAGCAUGGCGUCCACCGCUUCUGUCUGGGCCGCCCCGGCGUGGUGUGGCAUGAGGGGUGGUGGGGGUCGGCCGUACACAACCUCGAAUGGCGACGCUCGGAGUGCCGUGUGGUACGAGGUAUUGUAGCAGUACUCCGCCCAGGAGAGCCAGUCGACCCACGAGCGAGGCCGAUCACCUGUCGCACAGCGCAAAUACAUCGCAAUGACCUUGUUGACGACCUCGGACUGGCCGUCCAUCUGGGGAUGAAAGGUCGUACCGAGCCGCUGCUUGACACCUGCACAUUUAAAGAGAUCGCGCCAGAGAUUGCUGGUGAAGACUGGGUCGCGAUCGCUGACGAUGGAGCUGGGGAAACCGUGUAGGUGCACGAUCCCGUCGAAGAAGGCACGGGCGACGGAGGCGGCGGUGUAGGGGUGGCUGAGCGCGAUGAAGUGGGUGUACUUCGAGAAGCGGUCCACCACCGUCAGGACGACGGACUUGCCGUGCACUUUCGGCAGCCCCUCGAUGAAGUCCAUGGAGAUAUCUGCCCACACCUGUGACGGAACGUCCAAGGGCUGAAGUAGGCCGGCCGGCUGUGUGGUCGGUGUCUUGUUCCGCUGGCACACGUCACAGGAGCGGACGAAGUCGAGCACCAGCUGGCGGUCGCCGGGGAUGUAGAAGUCCGCGCGGAGGCGCACAAGGGUUUUCUGGACCCCCUCGUGUCCUGCCGAGUGAGCCAGGGUCACCACCUGGUGGCGCAAGUCGUCGGUGGCAGGCACGUAGAUGCGCUUGCCGUGGAGGAGGAAGCCGUCGUCGGCUGCCCACGGCGCGCCCAGAGAUGCAGCCUGCAGCUGCUGCAGCAGGUCGCGCGUGACCGGGUCGGCCGCGGUGGCACGACGAAUGUCGGCGUAGAGGUCGAAGGAGGGCCCAGAGAGGGCACAGAGCGCCGCAGUCUCCUCGUCGCGGCGAGACAGCGCGUCGGCCGCCGAGUUGAGCCGCCCGGGGCGGUACUCGACGGUGAAGUCGAACCCGAACAGCUUGCUGAGCCACUGGUGUUGAGGCACGGUGGACAGCUGUUGGUCCAGGAGGAACUUCAGGCUGUAGUGGUCGGUGCGGACGAGGAACCGGCGCCCCCACAAGUACGGGCGCCAGUGCCGGACGGCUUGCACCAGCCCGAUGAGCUCGCGCUCGUAGGCCGCCAGCUUGACAUGGCGAGCGGCGAAGGGUCGACUGAAGAAGGCCAGGGGUCCGCCCCCCUGGUGUAGAACGACGCCAAAGCCGGUGCCGGACGCGUCGCAGUCGACCACGAACUGGCGCGCGAAGUCGGGCAUCUAUGGAACCGGCGCCGACGAGAGCGCCCGCUUCAGGGCAACGAAAGCCUCGUCCGCCUCCGCCGUCUAGACGAAUGCCUCCUUCCGCAGGAGACGUGUGAGUGGCGCCGCGAUGGAGCCGAAGUCGCGGAUGAACUUCCUGUAGUAGCCGGCGAGGCCCAGGAAGCCACGCACCCCGUGUGUAGAGCAUGGUAGCGGCCACGAGGCGACCGCGGCCACUUUGUCGCUGUCCAUGGCGACGCCGUCGGCGGAGAUGACGUGGCCGAGGUAGGCGACGGAGGGGGUCCCGAAGGAGCACUUCGAUCUCUUCAGAAAGAGGCCGUGGGCUCGUAGGGCGGUGAAGUCGAGGCCGACAUGCUGCAGGUGCUCAGAUCACGACGUGCUGUAGAUCAGAAUGUCAUCAAAGAAAACCAGCACAAACCUACGGAGGAAGGGGUGGAGCACGUCAUUCAUCAACGCCUGAAAUGUCGCAGGGGCGUUGGAGAGCCCAAACGGCAUCACCAGGAACUCGAAAUGGCCAUGGUGGGUGCGGAACACCGUCUUCUCAAUGUCGGCCGGGUGCAUGCGCACCUGAUGGUACCCCGAGCGGAGGUCGAGCUUGGUGAAGUACUUGGCCCCGUGGAGCUCGUCGAGGAGCUCGUCAACCACCGGGAUCGGGAACUUGUCCUUGGACGUACGGUCGUUGAGCGGGCGGUAGCCGAUGCAGAAGCGCCACGACCCAUCUGCCUUCUUGACGAGGAGCACAGGUGCCGAGAACGGAGAAGUACUGGGGCGGAUGAUGCCCUGCUCCAGCAUGGCGGCGCACUGCCGCUCGAGCUCGUCCUUCUGCAACUGAGGGUACCGGUACGGCCGCACUGCCACCGGCGCGGUCUCGGGCAGCAGGUGUAUGCGGUGGUCGUAGGGGCGGGCUGGUGGAAGACCGCGUGGUGUGUCGAAGACGGCUUCGUGCUGACAUAGGAGCUCGUCCAGCAGCGGGUGGUGUGGGUCCGGAACUACUGCUAGCAGCGACCGCUGCUGGGAGGGUGCGCCCGGGGCGCCCACACACUGCCACGUGACGCGGCGGCCCUCGUGCAGGAAGGAUACGGUGAGCCCCUCGAAGUCCCAGGUGAGGGGGCCCAGCGUGCCCAGGAAGUCGACGCCGAGGAUGAAGUCGAAGCAGCCGAGCGCGAGGCCGACGCAGGUGAUGGAGAAGGGCGCCCCGAAGAUGUCGAUGGGCACGUUGCGUGCAAGGCCUUCACACGGCACGCGCUCGCCGUUGGCCACCGUAACACGAAGCUAGUCGCCCCCCUGAGGAGCGAGUCCAAGGCGCCGCAUGGCCGCGCCCUGGAGGAACGUGUGGGUGGAGCCGGUGUCCAGGAGGGCGAGGAGGCGCUCGCCCUUGAUCGUCACGGGCAGGAGCAUAGAUUGGUACGUCCUGAUGCCUGCCAGAGCGUGUACAGAGACCACAAGAGCGUGAGCGUGAGCGUCCGCUGCGGCGGCGGCUUCUUCGGGCGAGGCCGCGGCCGCAUCGUCGGCUGCCGCCUCCUCGUCGGCGUCGAGGAAAUCGUCCACCUCCAGGAAGAACAAGCGGGGGCACACGUGCCCACGCACGUACUGCUCGUCGCAGUUGUAGCAGAGGCCUUGACGACGGCGUUCCUGCAUCUCGGCCGGCGAGAGGCGACGGUGCGGUCGUGCGGGUGCCGCCGGGGCUGCUGCGCCAUGUGCUGCAGCGCCGGCUGCGGGCGGCGCAGGCAGCGCUGGUGCGCCAGCCGGGGCCGCGGUCGCCCCCUGUUGGCAUGGGGGAAAGGCUGGCCGCGGGGGAGGGCGGGCGCCGCGCUGCUGAGGAGGCGCUGCCGCGGCCAGAGCCCGUGUCUCGAAGGCGCGGGCGAGAAACAUGGUCGUCUGGAGGUCGGGCGGGGCGCGCAUCGCGACGUCGACCCGAAUGUGUUCCGAGAGGCCACCGACGAAGAGCUCCGCCUUUUGGCGCGUGGAGAGGUCCCUUGAGUGCACCAGCACCGUCUGGAAGCGGUCCGCAAACUCCUGGACCGUGGAGUGGAAAGGAAGGCGCCCCAACUUGGCCAGCCGCGAGCCGUAGAUAGGCGGUCCGAAGCGAAGGCGACAAAGCUCCUUGAAGCGCUCCCAGGACGGCAUGCCCUCGUCCAACAGGAGUGCGUAGUACCAUGUCUGAGCGGCGCCGGUGAGGUGGUAGGAGGCCAUCCACGUCCGCUGCUCCACCGGAGUGCGCUGGCCCCAGAAGAAAUUGUUCACAGUGUGUGAGCCAAUUCAGCGGGUCGACCGAGCCGUCGUAUGUCGCGAAGUCGAUCUUGUAGGUCCGAGGCUGGAAAGGCGCCGCGCCGAACGUCGCGGGAGCCGUAGCCGAGGGCGCCCCGCCGAUCACUGGAGCUGCAGCCGGCGCGGAGCAGAAAGUGGAGUCGUGGAGAAUUGUGCCGUCAACGCCGCCAUAGAGCGUUCCUGACGCCGGAACGCCCCCAUGGCCGAAGCCUGCUGUGAUGUGAGGGGUCGAAUGGACCGACGGGCACGCCGGCGCAGAGGAGUAGACUGGCUGCACGACGUCGGUGAGCCACGGCGGAAGCGGGGACGGCGAGUGGGGGAACUGGAUCUCCUGGAUGGGGACGCCGCCGAGGGACACCGCCGGUGUGGGCGCGGUGGUGUGCGCCGUGCUGUCCUGCGGCAUCCCGUAGGGGUAGACAGCGCCCGAGGCGGGUGAAGGCAGCUGCUGCCGCGGGUUGGGCGCCGACGGUAGCUGCGGCUGCGGUCCCAAGAGGAAGGCGUGGACGCCGGCCAUCAUCCUGCCGAGGUCGAGGACGGCUGUGGUGAGUUGCUCGUUGGUCAUCACGCCCGCGGCGGCGGAGGAAGCCCCGGCGGCCAACGACAGCGAUCCCGCGGGCAGAUAUGUUUGCGGAAUCGGUGCGGAUGGGAUCGGCACAGACACGUUGGAGUCCGGCGGCGAUGUGGUUGCAGCGGGCAGCGGCAGCGACAUCGGAUCGAAGGCUCUGAUACCAGGUUGGUAUGCUGCUGUUCUCUGCCACGCAUCGAUCGGAGGUUGUACGUGUGGAGGAUCGGUGGACACGGUUUGAAGGCUGAACGGCGGCGAGGAGUCAGCGAUCGUGAGAGGAGGAAAACAAGGUGGCGGCUAGGGUUGGACUCCCGUCUCCCUACAGGAAGCCGGAAACAAUGUGUUUCUGCUUGAUCUAUAGAGUGGUGCUUACAAUUAUUUAUACUCCCUUCUAGUCCUUAUCUAAUGAGAUAGAUCUCCUCUUUUCUCUCUAACAAAUCUUAUCUUCUAAUCCCUAUCUUCUCUCUAACAAAUCUUAUCUUCUAAUCCCUAUCUUCUCUCUAACAAAUCUUAUCUUCUAAUCCUUAUUUGCAUGCUUAUGCUGUUGCCCGGCACCUAUAGUGGCGGCCGGUCAUAACAACUUCCACGCUGUCAGAAUUUAACAUUCAAACACACUGCCAAAAUAUUU